Molecule: non-coding RNA, 292 nt
Organism: Phascolarctos cinereus (koala)
Lineage: Eukaryota; Metazoa; Chordata; Mammalia; Diprotodontia; Phascolarctidae
Source: RefSeq, a predicted model, not a curated record
AGACAAUGUCUUACACACAAGAAGAUUCUUUACUUCGUUAUAUCAACAUCCAGCUCACAUUCUUCUGCAGGGAAGUGCUGUUGCCUUGACUCAAGUGUUCUGGGAGCCUACCACCCCUUUUGUUCCUCUUUGGAAGGUUAUUCCUUCACAGAGUGCUUAGAGACUGCAAAGUAAUGUCAGAGGCUUAAGCCAAAGGGAUCAACAGCUCCUUUCAAUACCCUACAAAAGGUUCGGUUUGGUCUUGGUUUAUGUUCAUCAUGGAACAGGUAACUUCAUGUUUACUUGAACAAUG